AUGGGUAUUCUGCAUGGCUUUGGGGAUGCAACUGGUCUCAAGAUUAACCUCGCUAAAUCAUCUGUGACGCACAUUCGUUGCGAGGACAUCAAUAUGGCCGAGGUUUUGCAGAGCUUUGGGGGACAAAUGAAGUCCUUCUCGAUAACAUACCUGGGGCUACCGAUUAUACCGGCAAGGCUCAGGCUUGUGCACCUUCAAUUCGUCCUUGAUCGCAUCCGAGCUCGGCUGGUGGGGUGGAAGACGAAGCUGCUAACCAUUGCCGGACGUCGAGUGCUAGUCCGUGCGGUCCUCACCUCGCGGCCGACCUUCACCCUCACCGCGCUGCGGGUGCCGAAGAAGCUUCUAAAAGAGAUUGACAAAUCCAGAGGAAAGUUCCUUUGGGCGCACAAUGAGAUGAUCACAGGGGCAAAUGCAAAGUUAAUUGGGCAAAGGGCCAUGUUCACAGCUGCAACUUCUAUCUCAUUAGGUAAUGGAGAAAAGGCAGGGUUCUGGACCUGCUCAUGGGCCAAUGGGCAGCCUCUUAGGGAUGUUUUCCCCAGGCUUUUCAAGCACUCAAGGCGGAAAUCGAGAUCGGUUAGAGCCGCUCUGGUCGACGACUCCUGGAUCAGAGACUUGGCGCACAGGGACACCGCCCCUCUGCUGCAAGACGUGCUGUCCAUGGCGAGGAUGAUUGCCAGUCUACUCUGCUACCUCGGCCUACUAGGCGCAAUUCCAGGGGACGCAGCGAUCAUGUUUCAAAAGCUUGAUUUGGGAUGCCUGAGCUCCGGGGAAGUCAAAAGUGUUUGCCUGGCUGGUGCAUCUCAACAGGUUCACCUCUUCUGGCACUGCCCGAUCACAAAGGAGGUCUGGGAAAAGGUGGCGACAUGGUCAGGAUGCCGGGCUGUGAGGCCAAGUGUAUGGAGCUGCCUGAAUAUGGUGACUCAAAUCGUUGAAGCAAUUGCCGCCACUCCAGGGGAAGGCCGGAAGGGGAUCAAGUCCAUCAUCAUCUUGGUGCUCUAG
This 999-nucleotide ribosomal RNA is filed under the name Triticum aestivum (bread wheat). RNAcentral's name for it is "partial small subunit ribosomal RNA". The record is from RNAcentral. Lineage: Eukaryota; Viridiplantae; Streptophyta; Magnoliopsida; Poales; Poaceae.